CUAAGCAUCAGGUAACAUCAAAUCGUACCCCAAACCGACACAGGUGGUCAGGUAGAGAAUACCAAGGCGCUUGAGAGAACUCGGGUGAAGGAACUAGGCAAAAUGGUGCCGUAACUUCGGGAGAAGGCACGCUGAUAUGUAGGUGAAGCGACUUGCUCGUGGAGCUGAAAUCAGUCGAAGAUACCAGCUGGCUGCAACUGUUUAUUAAAAACACAGCACUGUGCAAACACGAAAGUGGACGUAUACGGUGUGACGCCUGCCCGGUGCCGGAAG
RNAcentral lists this ribosomal RNA (273 nucleotides) under Escherichia coli. RNAcentral describes it as "partial 23S ribosomal RNA". It matches the Rfam family "Bacterial large subunit ribosomal RNA", at positions 1621 to 1875 of the family's 2925-position model. The record is from RNAcentral. Lineage: Bacteria; Pseudomonadati; Pseudomonadota; Gammaproteobacteria; Enterobacterales; Enterobacteriaceae.